GUGCUUGCUUCAGUAGCACAUACACUAAAAUUGGAACGAUACAGGGAAGAUUAGCAUGGCCCUUGUGCAAGGGUGACAUGCAAAUUCAUGAAGCAUUGGGGCGCCUG
Lontra canadensis (Northern American river otter) is the source of this 107-nucleotide small nuclear RNA. The record is from RefSeq and is a predicted model, not a curated record. NCBI's taxonomy places the organism in Eukaryota, Metazoa, Chordata, Mammalia, Carnivora, Mustelidae.